RNAcentral lists this ribosomal RNA (485 nucleotides) under uncultured bacterium. RNAcentral's name for it is "bacterial SSU rRNA". It matches the Rfam family "Bacterial small subunit ribosomal RNA", at positions 21 to 507 of the family's 1533-position model. The record is from RNAcentral.
GGCUCAGGAUGAAUGCUGGCGGCGUGCCUAACACAUGCAAGUCGAGCGGGAUUUUCUGGAUUGAAGCUUCGGUAGAUUGAAGGAAAUGAGAGCGGCGGACGGGUGAGUAACGCGUAGGCAACCUGCCCUUUGCAGAGGGAUAGCCAUUGGAAACGAUGAUUAAAACCUCAUAAUACCGAGGAAAGACAUCUUACUUCGGUCAAAGAUUUAUCGGCAAAGGAUGGGCCUGCGUCUGAUUAGCUAGUUGGUGAGGUAACGGCUCACCAAGGCGACGAUCAGUAGCCGUACUGAGAGGUAGAACGGCCACAUUGGGACUGAGACACGGCCCAGACUCCUACGGGAGGCAGCAGUGGGGAAUAUUGCACAAUGGGGGAAACCCUGAUGCAGCGAUGCCGCGUGAGGGAAGAAGGUUUUCGGAUUGUAAACCUCUGUCUUCAGGGACGAUAAUGACGGUACCUGAGGAGGAAGCUCCGGCUAACUACGUG